RNAcentral lists this small RNA (577 nucleotides) under Aspergillus fumigatus. Its description in RNAcentral is "eukaryotic LSU rRNA". The stretch from base 188 to 339 matches the Rfam family "5.8S ribosomal RNA". The record is from RNAcentral. Lineage: Eukaryota; Fungi; Ascomycota; Eurotiomycetes; Eurotiales; Aspergillaceae.
UGUGCUCCGGGUGAGGGCCUCUGGGUCACCUCCCACCCGUGUCUAUCGUACCUUGUUGCUUCGGCGGGCCCGCCGUUUCGACGGCCGCCGGGGAGGCCUUGCGCCCCCGGGCCCGCGCCCGCCGAAGACCCCAACAUGAACGCUGUUCUGAAAGUAUGCAGUCUGAGUUGAUUAUCGUAAUCAGUUAAACUUUCAACAACGGAUCUCUUGGUUCCGGCAUCGAUGAAGAACGCAGCGAAAUGCGAUAAGUAAUGUGAAUUGCAGAAUUCAGUGAAUCAUCGAGUCUUUGAACGCACAUUGCGCCCUGGUAUUCCGGCGCGCAUGCCUGUCCGAGCGUCAUUGCUGCCCUCAAGCACGGCUUGUGUGUUGGGCGCCGGGGGACGGGCCCGAAAGGCAGCGGCGGCACCGCGUCCGGUCCUCGAGCGUAUGGGGCUUUGUCACCUGCUCUGUAGGCCCGGCCGGCGCCAGCCGACACCCAACUUUAUUCUAAGGUUGACCUCGGAUCAGGUAGGGAUACCCGCUGAACUUAAGCAUAUCAGCCGGAGGAAAUCCGAAGGAUUAUAACAAUAGAAAUAAA